AGUGAACGCUGGCGGUAGGCCUAACACAUGCAAGUCGAACGGCAGCACAGGAGAGCUUGCUCUCUGGGUGGCGAGUGGCGGACGGGUGAGGAAUACAUCGGAAUCUACUUUUUCGUGGGGGAUAACGUAGGGAAACUUACGCUAAUACCGCAUACGACCUACGGGUGAAAGCAGGGGAUCUUCGGACCUUGCGCGAUUGAAUGAGCCGAUGUCGGAUUAGCUCGUUGGCGGGGUAAAGGCCCACCAAGGCGACGAUCCGUCGCUGGUCUGCGAGGAUGAGCAGCCACACUGAAACGGAGACACGGUCCAGACUCCUACGGGUGUCAGCAUUGGGGAAUAUUGGACAAUGCGCGCAAGCCUGAUCCAGCCAUACCGCGUGGGUGAAGAAGGCCUUCGGGUUGUAAAGCCCUUUUGUUGGGAAAGAAAUCCAGCUGGUUAAUACCCGGUUGGGAUGACGGUACCCAAAGAAUAAGCACCGGCUAACUUCGUGCCAGCCGCCGCGGUAA
Molecule: ribosomal RNA, 506 nt
Filed under: uncultured bacterium
Lineage: Bacteria
Description: partial 16S ribosomal RNA
Rfam family: Bacterial small subunit ribosomal RNA
Source: RNAcentral